UUGAGAUCUAUAGUAAGAGCUUCUAAAAAACACCUUAGAGAUCAGAAUGGCCAAAGACCUCGGUAUCACUGUACGCAGCUGCAAAAAGGCUAGCUUUUCACUCGCAAACAAAAGGUGCAACUGAAAAGGAUCGUGCACUACCAAGACUCGCAAAUGCAAAAAAGCCAUGAUAUCAUGUGGCAGUAAAUUUCACACCAAGCCUACAUGCAAGAAUGUAACUAGCGAUGAAAACUAACUAUGGCAUCAAUAUUUAAUUUUUACGUAAUUUUUGAAUUAUAAAAUUAACAAACUGUCAU
RNAcentral lists this long non-coding RNA (296 nucleotides) under Mytilus galloprovincialis (Mediterranean mussel). The record is from RNAcentral. Lineage: Eukaryota; Metazoa; Mollusca; Bivalvia; Mytilida; Mytilidae.